AACGCACAUUGCGCCCUCUGGUAUUCCGGGGGGCAUGCCUGUUCGAGCGUCAUUAUAUCCAUCAAGCUCUGCUUGGCAUUGGGCCUCACUGUAAAAGGUGUGCCCUAAAAUCAGUGGCGGUGUCACCCAGCUUCAAGCGUAGUAAUUCUUCUCGCUAUGGAUGCUGGAUGUAUGUCUGCCAGCAACCCAUAACUUUUAAGGUUGACCUCGGAUCAGGUAGGGAUACCCGCUGAACUUAA
Molecule: unclassified non-coding RNA, 239 nt
Filed under: Cortinarius sp.
Lineage: Eukaryota; Fungi; Basidiomycota; Agaricomycetes; Agaricales; Cortinariaceae
Also listed under: 1 other name
Description: partial contains 5.8S ribosomal RNA, internal transcribed spacer 2, and large subunit ribosomal RNA
Rfam family: 5.8S ribosomal RNA (bases 1-52)
Source: RNAcentral